Molecule: ribosomal RNA, 318 nt
Filed under: Pantoea agglomerans
Lineage: Bacteria; Pseudomonadati; Pseudomonadota; Gammaproteobacteria; Enterobacterales; Erwiniaceae
Also listed under: 1 other name
Description: bacterial LSU rRNA
Rfam family: Bacterial large subunit ribosomal RNA
Source: RNAcentral
GAACGUCGUGAGACAGUUCGGUCCCUAUCUGCCGUGGGCGCUGGAGAAUUGAGGGGGGUUGCUCCUAGUACGAGAGGACCGGAGUGAACGCACCACUGGUGUUCGGGUUGUCAUGCCAAUGGCAUUGCCCGGUAGCUAAGUGCGGAAAAGAUAAGUGCUGAAAGCAUCUAAGCACGAAACUUGCCCCGAGAUGAGUUCUCCCUGACUCCUUGAGAGUCCUGAAGGGACGUUGAAGACUACGACGUUGAUAGGCCGGGUGUGUAAGCGCAGCGAUGCGUUGAGCUAACCGGUACUAAUGACCCGUGAGGCUUAACCUUA